Molecule: ribosomal RNA, 721 nt
Filed under: uncultured Nitrososphaerota archaeon
Lineage: Archaea; Thermoproteati; Nitrososphaerota
Description: bacterial SSU rRNA
Rfam family: Archaeal small subunit ribosomal RNA
Source: RNAcentral
UUGAUCCUGCCGGACCCGACUGCUAUCAGAGUAGGACUAAGCCAUGCGAGUCAACGCCGCAAGGCGUGGCAUACGGCUCAGUAACACGUAGUCAACAUGCCCAAAGGACGUGGAUAACCUCGGGAAACUGAGGAUAAACCGCGAUAGGCCAAGGUUUCUGGAAUGAUCCCUGGCCGAAAUCUAUAUGGCCUUUGGAUUGGACUGCGGCCGAUCAGGCUGUUGGUGAGGUAAUGGCCCACCAAACCUGUAACCGGUACGGGCUUUGAGAGAAGGAGCCCGGAGAUGGGCACUGAGACAAGGGCCCAGGCCCUAUGGGGCGCAGCAGGCGCGAAACCUCUGCAAUAGGCGAAAGCCUGACAGGGUUACUCUGAGUGAUGCCCGCUAAGGGUAUCUUUUGGCACCUCUAAAAAUGGUGCAGAAUAAGGGGUGGGCAAGUCUGGUGUCAGCCGCCGCGGUAAUACCAGCACCCCGAGUUGUCGGGACGAUUAUUGGGCCUAGAGCAUCCGUAGCCUGUUCUGCAAGUCCUCCGUUAAAUCCACCUGCUCAACGGAUGGGCCGCGGAGGAUACCGCAGAGCUAGGAGGCGGGAGAGGCAAACGGUACUCAGUGGGUAGGGGUAAAAUCCAUUGAUCUACUGAAGACCACCAGUGGCGAAGGCGGUUUGCCAGAACGCGCUCGACGGUGAGGGAUGAAAGCUGGGGGAGCAAACCGGAUUAGAUACC